This is a long non-coding RNA of Hibiscus syriacus, 214 nucleotides long. RefSeq lists it as uncharacterized. The transcript is spliced from 2 exons. The record is from RefSeq and is a predicted model, not a curated record. NCBI's taxonomy places the organism in Eukaryota, Viridiplantae, Streptophyta, Magnoliopsida, Malvales, Malvaceae.
UUAGUUUUUCUUUUCAAAAACAUCCAUCCUUCUCAGUUCUCAAGUUUUAGAUUCGUUCUCUCUUUAAGAUCCCACUCAAAGAAUUUUCCAUCUCAUCAUUUUCCACACUUACUGUUUUCUCUUUUCCUUCUCCUUGCUCCAAAGAGAUCAUGUAACUGAAGCAAUGUAUUUUAAAUGAGUUGUUUCAAUGGACUGGAGGCUUGAAUAGCAAAUA